AUGGGAGGACAAAAUUGGAAAUCAUUAUGAGGAGAAAGGAGAGAUGUGGAAAUCGUUCAGAGGUCACAGGACAGUAGAGAUUUAGAAAUACUUAUGAGGAGACAGGAAAAGGGAGAUAUAAUUAAGUAUUUAUGAGAAGAGAGGAUAUAGGAGAGAUGUAGAAUUAAUAAUGCGGAAAGAGGAGGAGAGAUGUGUUAACAUUUGUGAGGAGACAGUAGGUAUUUUGGAAUACUUAGGCGUAGAGAGGGGAUAGCAGAGAAGAGAGAUUCCGAAAUCGUCAUCAGGAGAUAGGAGAGAAUUGGAAAUCGUUAUGAGGACAUAGGAGGAGAGAUCUCAACUUAAUUAAGACGAGCGAUGAGAGGCGAGAGAUUUGGAAAUAAUUAUGAGGAGAAAGGAGAGAUUUGGAAAUCAUUAGGCAGAGAGAGGUUAGAGGAAAGAUUUAGAAUUGAUUAUGUGGAGAUAGGAUGAGAGAUCUGGAAACAGUUUUGAGGUGAGAAGAGAGACUGUGGAAUACUAAACAGAAGAGAGGUGAGAGCAGAGAGCAGAGAUUUUGAAAUCGUUACGAGGACACAGGAGAUGGGAGAUUUCGCAAUCGGUAUGAGGAGAGAGGAUAGAGGAGAGAUUUAGAACUUACUAUGUGGAGAUAGGAUGAGAGAUUUCAAAACACUUGUGAGGAGAGGGGAGAGAUUGUGGAAUACAAAAGAGAAGAGGGGUGAGAGCAGAGAGGAGAGUUUUGGGAAUCUUUGUGAGCAGAUAGGAGAGAUUUGGAAAUCGGUAUCAGGACACAGGAGACGGGACAUUUCGAAAUACUUAUGAGGAGACAGGAUAGAGGAGAAAUUGAGAAGCAAUUAUGCGGAGAGAGGAGGAGAGAUUUGUAAACAUUUUUGAGGAGACAGUAGAGAUUCUGGAAUAC
Vicugna pacos (alpaca) is the source of this 913-nucleotide non-coding RNA. The record is from RefSeq and is a predicted model, not a curated record. NCBI's taxonomy places the organism in Eukaryota, Metazoa, Chordata, Mammalia, Artiodactyla, Camelidae.